This 427-nucleotide ribosomal RNA is filed under the name uncultured bacterium. RNAcentral's name for it is "bacterial SSU rRNA". It matches the Rfam family "Bacterial small subunit ribosomal RNA", at positions 355 to 774 of the family's 1533-position model. The record is from RNAcentral.
UGGGGAAUUUUGGACAAUGGGGGCAACCCUGAUCCAGCCAUUCCGCGUGAGUGAAGAAGGCCUUCGGGUUGUAAAGCUCUUUCGGCAGGAACGAAACGGUGACGACUAAUACUUGUUACUAAUGACGGUACCUGAAGAAGAAGCACCGGCUAACUACGUGCCAGCAGCCGCGGUAAUACGUAGGGUGCGAGCGUUAAUCGGAAUUACUGGGCGUAAAGCGUGCGCAGGCGGUUUUGUAAGACAGCUGUGAAAUCCCCGGGCUUAACCUGGGAACUGCGGUUGUGACUGCAAGACUGGAGUAAGGCAGAGGGGGGUGGAAUUCCACGUGUAGCAGUGAAAUGCGUAGAGAUGUGGAGGAACACCGAUGGCGAAGGCAGCCCCCUGGGCUAUUACUGACGCUCAUGCACGAAAGCGUGGGGAGCAAACA